GCACGCUGCAGCCCUGGCGUGGCUCGCAGUGCGCUGCUCGGGACGAGUCGAGUGAGUCCCGGGAGUUUCCUCAACUGUGAACUUCACCUGUGAAAUGGGGUAGCGUGACCUGCCAGCUGCGAGCCUUAGAUUAAACGGCUGGUGACUGGAGAGAAUUCGUCUCUGCCGUGUGCGAAGGAUUGCGGAGCUGGAGAGGAUUAACAGAUGAGGGUCUCUGUUCGCCACUUUCCUAAAGCAGGCACAGAGAUUCCUAGAGACAAGGUACUCAGCAACGCGAAGGUCCACUACUGGAGACAAGAUCAGACUUCCUGUGGAAGGUGGCAUCGGGAAGUUUAGGAUGAAGUAACCUGGUUCCAUAAAUGCAAAGGUGGACACAGACAUCGAAACUACAAACUUGUAUUGGAACACACAGCAAUAUAGAUAUGUGGGACCCACGUACAGCAGUCACGUGUCCGACUUCAGCAGUGCUCGCUACCAUCUCCACUUCCGAAGUGUGGAGCCCCGGAGCCAGGGCUGCCAGCUGGUGUUUGCUGUUAUACCCUGACACAUUUCACUCACGAUUACUUCAGUCCUCUGGAGAUACUUGUGCUACUGUGACUUGAAGCCUAACCCGGUCAUCAACAUGGGUGUGUACCAUUUAUAUAAAAACACCGCCAGCAAAAAGAGGAUACAGAGGAAGCAAAUGAGAAGGAUGAUGAAGAACGUGAUUGCCGUGGUCUCAAAGGCCAUAGGACUCACAGCCAGAUACUGUGAAGGCCACAGCUCAAGGAAGCAGGAAUAGAACAAGAUGCUAAGUCAGAAGACGAACGCAGCCUGACCCAACCAGGUAGAGAGUUAGUGGUCCAGCCUGCCUUACAGAGAGUCUUGGAGGACAUUCGAAAUAAACAUGCUGGAGUCCAGGAGAAGAGGGUCUUCCUUAAUCCCAGAGCCCCCUUCUUGGUGGGUCGCCCCCGUUGACACCCCGCUGGCCGGGGCAACUGGCGCCCAACGUGGUGGCUCAACCCUCGCCUCGUUGGGAGUUGAAUGUCCUUCUCCAGGAAAGCCCAGAUGUCUGGUGGAGAUUUUUGGUGGUCGUCCGUUGAGACCGCCCGACUCGACACCCUUUCUUGACGAUCCGGAGGAGAGCGGGAAGGACGAGGUUAGUCUAAAUUUAGGCUUAACCAUGGGAUGGGGAAGUUCUUCCCAUUACCUUUUCCUUAAGGGCUUUAAAGAGACCCUCAAGACACGAGGGAUAAGGGUUCGUUAAAAAAAAAAAGACCUCAACAAAUUCUUUAGUCACUUAGAGGACUGUUGUUCCUGGUUUCCCCAAGAAGGGACGAUUGAUGUUAAUGAUAUCCUAAAGGUUUUUUGUAAAAAAAAGUAAAAAAAAAAAAAAAAAGAUUUAGGAGACCCUUCAAAGCUGCCAA
Molecule: long non-coding RNA, 1406 nt
Organism: Peromyscus californicus insignis
Lineage: Eukaryota; Metazoa; Chordata; Mammalia; Rodentia; Cricetidae
Exons: 7
Source: RefSeq, a predicted model, not a curated record